This 253-nucleotide ribosomal RNA is filed under the name uncultured bacterium. Its description in RNAcentral is "partial 16S ribosomal RNA". It matches the Rfam family "Bacterial small subunit ribosomal RNA", at positions 524 to 776 of the family's 1533-position model. The record is from RNAcentral. RNAcentral also lists the same sequence under 1 other name.
UACGGAGGGUGCAAGCGUUGUCCGGAUUUAUUGGGUUUAAAGGGUGCGUAGGCGGCUUAUUAAGUCAGGGGUGAAAGACUGCAGCUCAACUGUAGCAGUGCCUUUGAUACUGAUGAGCUUGAGUACAGAUGAGGCCGGCGGAAUGGGUGGUGUAGCGGUGAAAUGCAUAGAUACCAUCCAGAACACCGAUUGCGAAGGCAGCCGGCUAAACUGUAACUGACGCUGAGGCACGAAAGCGUGGGGAUCGAACAGG